This 816-nucleotide ribosomal RNA is filed under the name Triticum aestivum (bread wheat). RNAcentral describes it as "partial small subunit ribosomal RNA". The record is from RNAcentral. Lineage: Eukaryota; Viridiplantae; Streptophyta; Magnoliopsida; Poales; Poaceae.
AUGGAUUUCAUCACUGGGUUGCCUGUUUCAUGCCAGUUUGAUUGCAUCCUGUUGGUUAUUGACAAAUUCAUCAAAUAUGGUCAUUUCAUGGCUCUACGACACCCAUUUACUGCUCAAAACGUUGCAGAUAUUUUCGUGGAUAAUGUUUACAAGUUACAUGGUAUGCCUGAACUCAUUGUAUCUGACAGGGAUCCUAUUUUUACCAGCAACUUCUGGCAGACUCUUAUUAACAGAACUGGCAUUCAUUUGAAUAUGAGCUCGGCUUAUCAUCCGGCUACUGAUGGACAGACUGAGCGAGUUAACCAGCAGGUGGAGUGCUACUUGCGGAGUUUCAUCGGUUCGCACCCUACUAAAUGGAGCAAUUGUGAGUUUUGGUACAACACCAAUUGGCAUUCUGCUGUGGUGAAAUCACCAUUUGAAGUUUUGUAUGGACAACCUCCCAGGUAUUUUGGUAUUUCUCCAUCAGACACAAUUCCUCCUUUGGACAUUCAACAGUGGCUGCAAGAUCGACAGGUUGUAGUUGAGUCUGUCAGACAACACUUGCUACGAGCUCAACAGAGAAUGAAACAGUUGGCAGAUAAACACAGGACUGAGAGAACUUUUGAUGUGGGCGAGCUGGUUUUUCUUAAGUUGCAGCCUUAUGUCCAGUCUUCCGUGGUGCACCGAGCGAACCAUAAGUUAGCUUACAAGUACUAUGGUCCUUACAAGAUAGUGGACAGAAUUGGGGAGGUGGCUUACAAGCUAGAACUUCAGGAGGGCAGCAGGAUACACCCAGUUUUCCAUGUUCAUGUCAGUGUACUUCAGAGGCGUGUUUGA